This is a long non-coding RNA of Camponotus floridanus (Florida carpenter ant), 603 nucleotides long. RefSeq lists it as uncharacterized. The transcript has 2 exons. Lineage: Eukaryota; Metazoa; Arthropoda; Insecta; Hymenoptera; Formicidae. The record is from RefSeq and is a predicted model, not a curated record.
CUACGGUGCAAGCAUUAAAUGCGCAAAGUAACAACAUGAAGUUAACAGUAGUGUGUUUAAUCGUGGCAAUUCUGAUCUGCGCCGUCCAGUCCCGUCCAAAUGAUGAUGUCGACAAAGGAUAUUUAUUACGUCCAAUGGAAGAUGAUUAUUGGCAUUCGCUCCCUAUAAUGUGGGUCCCGUUAAAUGUGAUUAAAUUGCCUAGCCUUCUACCCUCACUACACAACAAGGAAACUAGAGUGAUGACAAGUAAAUGAUAAAUCAGUAAAGGAUUGUUUAUCCCAUUGAAUCCAAAAUAUUAACGCCGCCUACUAGAAACCCAACUACUGAUAUCCCAAAAGUCACUGAUGCAAUUGAUUCAAAUUUCUGCAAAGAGAAGUUAAUUAAUAUAAUAAACACAGCUGUAUGUAGUGGAGAGUGACAUGAGCCUCUCGUAGCUAUCUGUAGUAAAGCCACUGAUAUUGUAUAGUGUUUUUACAUAUUUUUUAGCCUAACAAAUAAUCGUUAGAAAACGAUAUUUACAGACUAGAAAAAUAUGUGAGAUACAAGUGGCAACUGCUCUUUUACCGUUGUUAUUCAAAAUAAUAAACGCAAAAUAAAAUACAA